UUAACUCAUGUUUGUAGGUAUGGAAUGGGAUCGUUUGCGUACGUUUGCCGCUAGGGGCGCUGUUCCAACUGCAUACAAAAUUGAGUUA
Molecule: microRNA precursor, 88 nt
Filed under: Bombyx mori (domestic silkworm)
Lineage: Eukaryota; Metazoa; Arthropoda; Insecta; Lepidoptera; Bombycidae
Description: mir-2807 microRNA precursor family
Rfam family: mir-2807 microRNA precursor family
Source: Rfam by way of RNAcentral